Molecule: ribosomal RNA, 731 nt
Filed under: Apilactobacillus kunkeei
Lineage: Bacteria; Bacillati; Bacillota; Bacilli; Lactobacillales; Lactobacillaceae
Description: bacterial SSU rRNA
Rfam family: Bacterial small subunit ribosomal RNA
Source: RNAcentral
CGCAGCCAGUUAGGGAAUCUUCCACAAUGGACGAAAGUCUGAUGGAGCAACGCCGCGUGAGUGAUGAAGGUUUUCGGAUCGUAAAACUCUGUUGUUAAAGAAGAACAAGUGUUAGAGUAACUGUUAACACUUUGACGGUAUUUAACCAGAAAGCCACGGCUAACUACGUGCCAGCAGCCGCGGUAAUACGUAGGUGGCAAGCGUUGUCCGGAUUUAUUGGGCGUAAAGCGAGCGCAGGCGGUUUUGUAAGUCUGCUGUGAAAGCCCUCAGCUCAACUGAGGAAGUGCAGUGGAAACUACAAAACUUGAGUACAGAAGAGGAAAGUGGAACUCCAUGUGUAGCGGUGAAAUGCGUAGAUAUAUGGAAGAACACCAGUGGCGAAGGCGGCUUUCUGGUCUGUUACUGACGCUGAGGCUCGAAAGCAUGGGUAGCGAACAGGAUUAGAUACCCUGGUAGUCCAUGCCGUAAACGAUGAAUACUAGGUGUUGGAGGGUUUCCGCCCUUCAGUGCCGCAGCUAACGCAUUAAGUAUUCCGCCUGGGGAGUACGACCGCAAGGUUGAAACUCAAAGGAAUUGACGGGGGCCCGCACAAGUGGUGGAGCAUGUGGUUUAAUUCGAUGCUACGCGAAGAACCUUACCAGCUCUUGACAUCUUCUGCCAACCCAAGAGAUUGGGCGUUCCCUUCGGGGACAGAAUGACAGGUGGUGCAUAGUGCCCUUUCUUUUAUUUCG